Molecule: transfer RNA, 76 nt
Filed under: Bacteroidetes bacterium HGW-Bacteroidetes-21
Lineage: Bacteria; Pseudomonadati; Bacteroidota
Description: tRNA-Trp
Rfam family: tRNA
About the family: Transfer RNA (tRNA) molecules are approximately 80 nucleotides in length. Their secondary structure includes four short double-helical elements and three loops (D, anti-codon, and T loops). Further hydrogen bonds mediate the characteristic L-shaped molecular structure. tRNAs have two regions of fundamental functional importance: the anti-codon, which is responsible for specific mRNA codon recognition, and the 3' end, to which the tRNAs corresponding amino acid is attached (by aminoacyl-tRNA synthetases). tRNAs cope with the degeneracy of the genetic code in two manners: having more than one tRNA (with a specific anti-codon) for a particular amino acid; and 'wobble' base-pairing, i.e. permitting non-standard base-pairing at the 3rd anti-codon position.
Source: RNAcentral
ACGGGUGUAGCUCAAUUGGCAGAGCAGCGGUCUCCAAAACCGCAGGUUGAGUGUUCGAUUCGCUCCGCCCGUGCAA